GACGAACGCUGGCGGCGUGCUUAAUACAUGCAAGUCAACUGAGCUUAAGGUAGCAAUAUCUUAAGUGCGGUGGCGCACGGGUGAGUAACACGUAGGUAAUCUGCCUUUAGGUCUGACAUAAUCCCGCGAAAGCGGGACUAAAAUCAGAUGAUGCAGCGGCUCGACAUCGAGACAGUUGUUAAACCUUCGGGGCCUAAAGAUGAGCCUGCGUCUGAUUAGGUAGUUGGCGGGGUAAUGGCCCACCAAGGCGACGAUCAGUAGCCGGCCUGAGAGGGUGAUCGGCCACACUGGAACUGAGACACGGUCCAGACUCCUACGGGAGGCAGCAGUGAGGAAUCUUGCGCAAUGGGGGGAAACCCUGACGCAGCAACGCCGCGUGAGUGAAGAAGG
RNAcentral lists this ribosomal RNA (390 nucleotides) under uncultured bacterium. Its description in RNAcentral is "bacterial SSU rRNA". It matches the Rfam family "Bacterial small subunit ribosomal RNA", at positions 28 to 414 of the family's 1533-position model. The record is from RNAcentral.